Heterocephalus glaber (naked mole-rat) is the source of this 2731-nucleotide non-coding RNA. The record is from RefSeq and is a predicted model, not a curated record. Lineage: Eukaryota; Metazoa; Chordata; Mammalia; Rodentia; Bathyergidae.
GGUCGCGGGACAACAUGGCUGCGCCCGCGCUCGGGCCGGCCCGUGGACGCCGCGCCCGGCUCGGUCCCGUCGUCUCGCUGCCGCUGCUCCUGCUGAUUUGCGGGGCGGCGGGGAGCGAAGAGGCCGGGGCCGGUGGGGGAGCGGCGUCCCUCACGGGCUCAUGCGGCUGCGGCUCGGCCCAGCGGCCCGGGGCCCAGGGCAGCGUGGCGGCCGUGCACAGAUACUCCCGCGAGGCGAACACCCUGGGCCCGGGCUCCGGAGAGCGGCCGCUCACGCCCGCCAAGAUGGUCCUCAUCCCUGCUGGAGUAUUUACAAUGGGCACAGAUGAUCCUCAGAUAAAGCAGGAUGGAGAAGCACCUGCAAGGAGAGUUGCUGUUGAUGCCUUUUACAUGGAUGCCUAUGAAGUCAGUAAUGCUGAAUUUGAGAAGUUUGUGAACUCAACUGGCUAUUUGACAGAGGCUGAGAAGUUUGGCGACUCCUUUGUCUUUGAAGGCAUGUUGAGUGAGCAAGUGAAGACUGAUAUCCAACAGGCAAGACACAGAAGAGGGGAUGUCUUUUGGGACCAGGUCAUCUUUUGCCAUCUCUCCAAAACUAAGGUUGCAGCUGCUCCUUGGUGGUUACCUGUGAAAGGCGCCAAUUGGAGACACCCAGAGGGGCCUGACUCUACUGUUCAGCACAGGCCAGAUCAUCCAGUGCUCCACGUCUCCUGGAAUGACGCUGUUGCCUACUGCACAUGGGCAGGGAAACGGCUGCCCACAGAGGCUGAGUGGGAGUACAGCUGCCGAGGAGGCCUGCAGAAUAGACUUUUCCCCUGGGGCAACAAACUGCAGCCAAAAGACCAACAUUAUGCCAACCUCUGGCAGGGUGAGUUCCCUAUGACCAACACUGGAGAGGAUGGCUUCCAAGGAACAGCACCUAAAUUUACUUCUCACAGUUCUGGAGGUUGGGAAGUCCAAGAUCAAGACACUGGAAGGACUGGUGUUGGCGGCAUCCUUGAGAGGGGAAGAUUGUUGUGUCUUUACAUGGUUGGAGGCAGAAGGGCAAGAAAACACUUUUUUCGCCUUAAGUCCUUUUAUAAGGAUGUUGAUGCCUUUCCUCCCAAUGGUUAUGGCUUAUACAACAUUGUGGGGAAUGUGUGGGAGUGGACUUCAGACUGGUGGACUAUUUAUCAUUCGGUUGAAGAAACACUCAACCCACUUCAGGCUGCUGGAACCAUGCCUGUGGGAGCCCAUGUAAUGUGCCAGUUGAAGACUGCUUGGAAGUCAGCUGCUUUGAUUCAGCAAGGCACAGCAGUCAAAAACAAGGAUAUCAGAAAAUUUUGGAUGAAAGGCCCCCCUUCUGGGAAAGACCGGGUGAAGAAAGGUGGAUCUUACAUGUGCCAUAAGGUCUUGCUAUGCUGCUAAGACUGACUUCAAAAUCCUAGGCUCAAGCAGUCUUACUGCAUCAGCCUCCUGAGUUGCAGGAACUACAGGUCACAGUCAUUAGUCCUAGAUUGUCUAAUUGAAGUUGACACUGUAAGUGUUCUUGGAUCAUCUUGCCGGGGAGCCAAGCUUCCAUGAAAAAACAGUUUACCGGAAGGAUAAGUUUUAAUUUAGUCAGGCUCAGAGUGAUGGUGAGAGUAUGCCAAGAGAAAAGCAUAGCUGAGUAAUAAAACUGAAUGGAAUACACGGGAUUUUCAGAGAAAAAUGGCAUUUUCAGGAUCUUGUCCUAUUGCUAUAGGUAUCGCUGUGCUGCUCGAAGCCAGAACACACCCGAUAGCUCUGCAUCAAAUCUGGGAUUCCGCUGUGCAGCCAACCACCUGCCCACUGCGGACUGACAGUUAAGAAGAGCCUUCCCAAAUCCAAGAAGUUAUUUCUAACCUGCACUUGGUUUCCCUCAGAACACUUAAUAACCUUGUGCAAAGAACCCCCACCCUGAGGUGGGUUACAUGUCUGCCUAAUGGCCAAAGGAACCGUCUUGUGAGACCAAAUCACUGACCUGUGUCAGUGCCUGUGCUUUAUUGUGUGGUGCAUCUUUGGAUAUCAUUGCCAUAUUUUCCUUUUGUGAACCUUUGAAAGAAGAAUGGGAAACCAACCUGUUUUUGAUAGUUUCCUAUUUAUCAAAUGAGGAGAUGGACAGCAUCAUCUUUGAGGCUGUUUCAAACUUACAGAUUCUAUGAGUGAUAUCAGAUUCUAUUGUGAUUGCAUAGUGAGAAUUUAUCACAGAUUAUUUUUUAGCUAUUUUUUUCCAUGUGUGACGCUAGGGUGAUACUAAUCAUGUAAAGUAAAAGUUCUCUUAUGUAUUAUUUUUCAGAAAAGGGUGUGGGGGGUGAGUCCUUUAUAUUCAUAUUGCACUUUGUUUUUCCAAGGAAAUCAGUGUCUUUUCCAUUGUUAUGAUGAAUCCCACAUGGACCAGUGAUGGUAUAUUAAUGUUCAGUGCUCUGAACAUACAGGAAUGUCUGUGGGGUGACUCUACUGUGCUUUAUCUUUUAACAUUAAGUGCCUUUGGCUCAGAGGGGCAAUUGUAAGUCCUAUUACCCUCUCUCCCCAAAGCCUUCUGUGAAUGUGAAAUGUGUACUAAAUGGGGAAACCUAUUUAAUCUAGGUAUAGGAGAAAAAGAAUGAAGCCCGUGAAUUACCUAUAUUCAGGGUACCCAGUAUUUUGUAAUAGAGAAGUAGGAAAUGUUGGCUAAGGAAUGUCAGAUACUUUGAAUCAUGCACUAUGUCAAAUAAACUGGUAUCUCUAAGACUGGC